CCUACGGGUGGCAGCAGUGGGGAAUAUUGCACAAUGGGCGCAAGCCUGAUGCAGCCAUGCCGCGUGUAUGAAGAAGGCCUUCGGGUUGUAAAGCACUUUCAGUAGGGAGGAAGGUAGUGUAGCUAACACCUGCAUUAUUUGACGUUACCUACAGAAGAAGCACCGGCUAACUCCGUGCCAGCAGCCGCGGUAAUACGGAGGGUGCGAGCGUUAAUCGGAAUUACUGGGCGUAAAGCGCAUGCAGGCGGCCUGUUAAGUCAGAUGUGAAAGCCCGGGGCUUAACCUCGGAAUUGCAUUUGAAACUGGCAGACUAGAGUACUGUAGAGGGGGGUAGAAUUUCAGGUGUAGCGGUGAAAUGCGUAGAGAUCUGAAGGAAUACCGGUGGCGAAGGCGGCCCCCUGGACAGAUACUGACACUCAGAUGCGAAAGCGUGGGGAGCAAACAGGAUUAGAUACCCUGGUAGUC
RNAcentral lists this ribosomal RNA (465 nucleotides) under uncultured bacterium. RNAcentral describes it as "bacterial SSU rRNA". It matches the Rfam family "Bacterial small subunit ribosomal RNA", at positions 338 to 795 of the family's 1533-position model. The record is from RNAcentral.